Molecule: ribosomal RNA, 384 nt
Filed under: uncultured bacterium
Lineage: Bacteria
Description: bacterial SSU rRNA
Rfam family: Bacterial small subunit ribosomal RNA
Source: RNAcentral
UACGAGGGGGGCAAGCGUUGUUCGGAAUUAUUGGGCGUAAAGGGCGCGUAGGCGGUUUGACAAGUCUGAUGUGAAAUCUCUGGGCUCAACCCAGAGUCUGCAUUAGAAACUGUCGGGCUUGAGUAUGGGAGAGGUGAGUGGAAUUUCCGGUGUAGCGGUGAAAUGCGUAGAUAUCGGAAGGAACACCUGUGGCGAAAGCGGCUCACUGGACCAUAACUGACGCUGAGGCGCGAAAGCUAGGGGAGCAAACAGGAUUAGAUACCCUGGUAGUCCUAGCCCUAAACGAUGAUUGCUUGGUGUGACAGGUACCCAAUCCUGUCGUGCCGAAGCUAACGCGAUAAGCAAUCCGCCUGGGGAGUACGGUCGCAAGGCUGAAACUCAAAG